This is a long non-coding RNA of Canis lupus familiaris (dog), 446 nucleotides long. RefSeq lists it as uncharacterized. NCBI's taxonomy places the organism in Eukaryota, Metazoa, Chordata, Mammalia, Carnivora, Canidae. The transcript has 3 exons. The record is from RefSeq and is a predicted model, not a curated record.
CUUGGUCUCCAGGUGGACAGAGAACAGCCAGCCCAACUUGUAAUUUGGAACAUUAAAUUUUGUUUUUGAUCUGGCUCCCACUUGUCCGAUCUUCUGCCCAUGAAGCCUAAUGCUAAGGUGAAGAACCAGAGAGCUGGUGGAAACUCAUUUGCACCUCACAGUUUUUACUCAGAAUUGGCACAUUGUCAAAGCAAGUCCAGGCCCAAGCUCAAAGUCAGUGGAUUGAGAUGUGUUACAAGGAAAUAUACUACCGCCUGCUAUCUUGAUCAAAAAUAUUCAGUUUCCUCCCUUCUGGAAUCAAACUAUAUUCAUCACCACCUCUAAAGAAGAAAUCCUGAAACCUAUUUUCCCAAAGCCACUCAUUCAUUGGGUAGAUCAUCUGCUAAGUUACUACAGGUAACAGUUUGCUAAAUGCUUUGCCACUGCAUACUGUGGCUCCUUUUCCA